GCCAGCGAGGCCCACUCUCUGAGCGGGACAAAACACACACACACACACACACACACACACACACACACACUCACACUGGUAAUCAAGACAGAAUCUCCCUCGUAGGCCACAGUCAAAAGUGGGGAGGAGGGAGAGGGAGGAGAGGGUCGAGGGGGAAAAGGGGAGAGAGACACAGAGACUGAGAGACAGAGGCAGAGACAGAGAGGCAGAGGCAGAGACAGAGAGGCAGACCCAGAGACAGAGAGAGACAGAAAGAGAUAGAGAAACAGAAAGACAGAGAGAGGGAGAGCGCAACUAGUCUCUCUCAUCUCUCUCCUCACCCCACCCCCUCAACCCGGGGCCCUCUCCCCCACUUUCACUUUAUUUCCAUGAUUAGUGUGACCAAAAUUAAUGAAUUAAUGGCUCCUAAUCGGGGCUGGCACGGGGGAAGUUUAGUUUGUUACUUUUAUUGAUUGUUUUGGGCGAGGGGGGAGAGGGAGGAGGAGGUGGGGAGGCAGAGGAGUUUCGAGGCAGCGUCUCUGUCUCCCCUCGAGGUCUCCAAGCCCGGGUCCUCUCAGUCGGCAGCAGGGGCGAAGGACAAAAGAAUGGAAAGUACAAAAUGGAAGCAGGACAAUGACCUUGGGAGAUGGAAAAAUGACUACUUCAGAAACUUGAGACCUGAAGUAGAAGCCAAAGAAAUACCAAGCUGCUUCUACUUGUCCAACCAAACCCUCACUCCAGGGAAGGGAACCAAGGGAAAGAAGUCCCCUGAGGGGGAACUCUCCAGGAAGGGUGUGAACAGCACAAACGUGAUUUUAUACCUCAAGUGGGCAUACUAUCUCUCUGGCUUGAAGGGUGAAAGAGGAGUCCAGGAACAAGAGGUUUAUCCCAAUCACUUGGAUCUUCAAAGGUGGUUUCUUCCAGGUAUGCCUUCAAGCUUGUUGGAUUUCCGGAAGUUUGUGGCUCUUCCUGCACAUUUUACACUCAUGCAGUAGAACUUUGAGGUGGGCUUAGCCAGUGAGUAGUCCUGCAUAGUAGUAGGGGUGCUGGACAUAGGAC
This 1038-nucleotide long non-coding RNA is filed under the name Ornithorhynchus anatinus (platypus). RNAcentral's name for it is "lncRNA (ENSOANG00000047560.1)". The record is from RNAcentral. Lineage: Eukaryota; Metazoa; Chordata; Mammalia; Monotremata; Ornithorhynchidae.